AGUGAACGCUGGCGGUAGGCCUAACACAUGCAAGUCGAACGGCAGCACAGUAAGAGCUUGCUCUUACGGGUGGCGAGUGGCGGACGGGUGAGGAAUACAUCGGAAUCUACUUUUUCGUGGGGGAUAACGUAGGGAAACUUACGCUAAUACCGCAUACGACCUACGGGUGAAAGCAGGGGAUCUUCGGACCUUGCGCGAUUGAAUGAGCCGAUGUCGGAUUAGCUAGUUGGCGGGGUAAAGGCCCACCAAGGCGAAGAUCCGUAGCUGGUCUGAGAGGAUGAUCAGCCACACUGGAACUGAGACACGGUCCAGACUCCUACGGGAGGCAGCAGUGGGGAAUAUUGGACAAUGGGCGCAAGCCUGAUCCAGCCAUACCGCGUGGGUGAAGAAGGCCUUCGGGUUGUAAAGCCCUUUUGUUGGGAAAGAAAAGCAGCAGGUUAAUACCCCGCUGUUCUGACGGUACCCAAAGAAUAAGCACCGGCUAACUUCGUG
This 492-nucleotide ribosomal RNA is filed under the name uncultured bacterium. Its description in RNAcentral is "partial 16S ribosomal RNA". It matches the Rfam family "Bacterial small subunit ribosomal RNA", at positions 29 to 507 of the family's 1533-position model. The record is from RNAcentral.